Rosa rugosa (rugosa rose) is the source of this 1324-nucleotide long non-coding RNA. RefSeq lists it as uncharacterized. Lineage: Eukaryota; Viridiplantae; Streptophyta; Magnoliopsida; Rosales; Rosaceae. The record is from RefSeq and is a predicted model, not a curated record. The transcript is spliced from 2 exons.
UCUAAUUAUGUUUUAGAAUUAAAUUCAAUUUACCCCCCUGAGGUUUGGAGGUAAUUUCAUGUUAGUCCAUGUCCUCUCAAUUUAAUCAGUUUACCCCCUAAGUUUUCCAAUUUCAAUCCGUCGUGUCCAAUGUAUGAGGCUCCAUCUAAAUUUGACGUUAAGUCCAACUUUAGGGGCCCACUUUAAGGGCUAAAAUAGUCAUUUAAAACAAAACAAAAAAUUGAAGGAAAAAAAAAAAAACUCAUUUCUUCUUCUUCCUCAAAUCCUCUUCUUCUUCUCUCUCUCAUCUCCGAUGGGCAGCCCCAAAGACCCACCCCCUCCACUCCACUCCACUCCACCCGACCCGUCUCCUCUUCUGUCCUCCGAUUUAUCUUUCCAUAUACUCCAUUGCCCGCCUGGUCAAACCCUUGCGAUCCCAACAGUCAAUUCCUUCCUCACCCCCGGCUACUUCUCCAAGUCGGCGCCAUCUUUCUCAGAAAACCGUCGAGUCAGCAUCGAUUUCGAUCCGGACACAUACGACCCGCCGUCUGCUUCUUCCUCAGGGCCAAAGUCAAAGCCUCAGCCGGAGGCUGGUAUCUCCGGAUCUAAUUAUUCUGCCACCGAUCGAUUGGGUACAGCCGCCGCUGGAGCCCAACGUUGGGUCUGGAUUUUCAGCCAAAAAUUUGAAGAAAAACGUUAAUCUGAUUCGAGGUAAUGCUCAUUUGCUGCCGGUGAAGCUAAAAGGAAGAGCUGAAGGGAACUCGUGAAGCUCAACCUAAACUGAAGGAAGCGCAAGUUUAUGAACAAGGGCAGAAGAGGAAGUACCAAUUUGGGCUGUAAUACGACGACAAAGCAGGGUUGGUAGAAGAGCGGAGGAGGUUACCGAGAGGCGGAUUCGCUGUGGGGAGAUUCACCGGAGCUAGAAGAGCGGCAAAGGUUCACUGAUAUUCUGGGUAUUGGUGGAAUUCCUACAUGAUGAAGUUUGGGUAUUGGAGUUGCCCAUCAGAGCUCAGAGAGAGAAGGUGGUGGGCAGGUAUGGGUUUGUGCAGGGUAGAAGAAGAUUAGGAUGUGAGGAGGGGGCAGUGAUUUUUGUUGCCGUAGAUCGAAGACGAAGAAGAAGAAGACGGGGUUGAUUUCUAAGUCGGGGGUUAUAAGAGUAAUUUUGCUCUUAAGUUUGGGAGAAAUUUUUGUGUGCUCCCGUCACUCCACGUGGCAUAUGUGACGGACCACUCUGAUUGGUCCACGUCAUUGUCAAUUGUAUUUUCCUUUUCUGUUGGAAUUUGAAACCGUGGUCAGCCAAGAACACACUUCACAAUAUUAUUGGAAUUAUGAACAAGAUCUGAAA